GACGAACGCUGGCGGCGUGCUUAACACAUGCAAGUCGAACGGAAAGGCCCUGCUUUUGUGGGGUGCCCGAGUGGCGAACGGGUGAGUAACACGUGAGCAACCUGCCCUUGACUUUGGGAUAACUUCAGGAAACUGGGGCUAAUACCGGAUAGGAGCUCCUGCUGCAUGGUGGGGGUUGGAAAGUUUCGGCGGUUGGGGAUGGACUCGCGGCUUAUCAGCUUGUUGGUGGGGUAGUGGCUUACCAAGGCUUUGACGGGUAGCCGGCCUGAGAGGGUGACCGGCCACAUUGGGACUGAGAUACGGCCCAGACUCCUACGGGAGGCAGCAGUGGGGAAUAUUGCACAAUGGGCGGAAGCCUGAUGCAGCAACGCCGCGUGCGGGAUGACGGCCUUCGGGUUGUAAACCGCUUUCGCCUGUGACGAAGCGUGAGUGACGGUAAUGGGUAAAGAAGCACCGGCUAACUACGUG
Molecule: ribosomal RNA, 468 nt
Filed under: uncultured bacterium
Lineage: Bacteria
Description: partial 16S ribosomal RNA
Rfam family: Bacterial small subunit ribosomal RNA
Source: RNAcentral